Molecule: ribosomal RNA, 253 nt
Filed under: uncultured bacterium
Lineage: Bacteria
Description: partial 16S ribosomal RNA
Rfam family: Bacterial small subunit ribosomal RNA
Source: RNAcentral
GACGAAGGGGGCUAGCGUUGUUCGGAAUUACUGGGCGUAAAGCGAGUGUAGGCGGUUGUCGUAGUCAGGUGUGAAAGCCUUGAGCUCAACUCAAGAAAUGCACUUGAUACUCGAUGGCUAGAGGACCGGAGAGGAUAGUGGAAUUCCCAGUGUAGUGGUGAAAUACGUAGAGAUUGGGAAGAACACCAGUGGCGAAGGCGGCUAUCUGGACGGUUACUGACGCUAAGACUCGAAAGCGUGGGGAGCAAACAGG